Molecule: long non-coding RNA, 3609 nt
Filed under: Piliocolobus tephrosceles (Ugandan red Colobus)
Lineage: Eukaryota; Metazoa; Chordata; Mammalia; Primates; Cercopithecidae
Description: lncRNA (ENSPTEG00000006275.1)
Source: RNAcentral
AUGUCACAGUAUGUUGUGAUGAUAGUGUUAAUAAGAGUAGCAAUAAGAGUGACAAUAAGAGCGACAAUAAGAGCGANNNNNNNNNNGAGCGAAAAUAAGAGUAGCAAUAAGAGUGACAAUAAGAGCGACAAUACAAGCAGUAAUAAGAGCAACAAUAAGAGCAGUAGUAAGAGCGACAAUAAUACUAAUGAUGGUUUCACCAGUGCUAAAACCAUGCUAACUCGAUACGAACACAAAUACGUAGAUAUUUGUUUUUUUUCUAGUCAAAUAGGAAGUAGCAUAUUUUUAGUAAAUGUAUAUCUUGUUAGACAAACUACUGAAUUAUGCUUUUCUUUUUAUAUAAACGUCAAUUUUUUUUUACCUGCUAUUAAUAUGAUUUUACCGCAAAGUUUGAUACAAACUCGUGAAAACCAGGUCUUCAAUUUAGGAAGUAUUCAUUUAAAUAGUGAAAUUUCAUUUAAAAUAAAAUUAAAAAACUGUUUUAAAUACCCUGUUUCGGUUAAGGUUCUUUUUGAACAAUUAUUUACGAAAUUAGUUGGUACACAAAGUUCUACAAAAAUAAAUAAUUUUACUAACAGGGAGAAGAUAAAUAUAAAAGAGGAAGAAAUAAAAGCUUUAGAGCAUAUUGAUAAUGAUAGGAAAUAUAAGAAAAUUCGUGUUAGUAAUAAUGUUAGUAAUAAUGUUAGUAAUCAUGUUAGUGAUAGUGUUGGUGAUCAUGUUGGUGAUAGGAAUCACGAUGUUGAUACGUGUUUAAACCAAAGAAAUGAAUCUGGUGAGAAUAGAGAAAACAAAUUAAUUGGAAAUGUGGAUAGUGAUAAUGUAGUCAAUAAUAGCUGUAUAAAUAAAGACAAUAACAAAAUUGGAAGAAUGGGAACUUCUGUUGAAAACAAAAAAAAAUUAUACGCUUUGAAUAGCAAAUUGUUUUUUUUUAAUAAUAACAAAGCUGAUAAAAUAAUAUUAAGUAAAAAAGAUAAGAUUACCUAUUUUGAAUAUAAAAAUAAUAAGAACAUUAUGUACAGAAAAGAAAAGAAAAGAAAGGAAGUAUUUCAUGCAGGUAUCUUUAACUACAUUGGAAAUAGUAGUUACAUGUUAAAUGAAAAUGAUGAAGCUUGGUUUAAAAUAAAGAUUAACAAAAAAAAAUUAGAAAAUGAAAUAGUAAAAAGAAAACAGUUGCUUUUGAAAGCGGUAGAAAAUAGUGCGCAUGUGGUUGAUGUGGAACAAAUUAAAAAACAAAGUGAAGUUUCUGAAGAAUUAAUCGGUAAUAUUUCUAGUACUACUGAAAUUGUCAGUGAAAAAGGAACAAACAAAUAUGAUAAUAAGGGUGAUAAUAAAACCGAUUGCGAAAAUGAAUUGGACAGCAAUAAGAAAAAAGGUGAGAAAAAGGGUGAGAAAAAAGGUGAGAAAAAGGGUGAGAAAAAAGGUGAGAAAAAUGGUGAGAAAAAUGGUGAGAAAAAAGGUGAGAAAAAGAGUGAAAAGACGGAGAGGAAGGAAAAGAAAAAGAAAAAGGAAGUAAUAAAAACUGAAGAUAUAGAAAAAAAUGGUGCUGAUAAUGUGGGUAAACAAAAUGCAAUAAUAGGUUCGUACAAAAGUUAUAAAACUCUUCCUUUAGAACAAGACAAACAAGAACUGCUUGGUAGAAUAGGCAUUAACGUGGUAAAUAAUAGAUACGAAUUUGUCGAUUUACAAUUUGUAGGUAACAUAAUAGAAUGUACAAAUUACUGGAACUUCGAAUCAUUAAAACGUGAAAUGAGAAAAAUCAUAUGUAAAAGUGAUAAUGCAUAUAUUUAUAAGAAUCAUAUAAAUUUUGAUUUAUUACCAUUAAAUUAUAAUAAUAAAUUUAAAGUUUGUUAUACUAAUGAAAAUGAUUAUCCUUUAUAUUUUAAUAUCGAAAUAGAUAAAAAAUUAAAAAGUUUUUUAAAAAUAAGUUCUUUGAAUGGGUUUAUACCACCAAAUAGUUCUUUUCUUUUUUUCCUACAUAUGGAUAUAAAAGAGACUUUUAAUUUAGUAAAAAAACAAAUAGUAUGCAAAUUUUCUACAAAAGAUUUGAAUAUAAAAAAAAAUACCAAAACAAAAGAACAUGAUGAAGGACAUAUUUAUGAAGAUUCGUUAUAUGUAAGUAUAAUGUCAGAAGAAAUCAAAAUUUUGUAUGAUAAAAAAAAACUACUUUUUCAAAAUAUUCCUUUUCUGAAUUAUGCACAAAAUGAUUUAUUGAUAGAAAAUCUAUCUAAUGUAAAAUUAGUACUAGAAUUAAGUAUAAUACCGAAAAAUGAAAAAGAAGAUAUAACAUCUGUUUAUUCAUUUUGUCGUUUUAAAAAAAAAAAUAUUAUUUCAUUAGUAAAGCAAAAUGGAAUAAAUAUGUUAUUGAAGGGGGAGAGAGCGGUGAAAGAGGCGAAAAUGUUUGACUCGGGUUUGACAGAUAAUACAAGUACUAGCGGUGGUUUAUUUAAUGAUAGUGCUUUAAGAAAUGAUUGUGACAAUAACAUUUGUGACACUCACGAAGUUACAAACAAAAAUAGUAAUGUAGGUUAUACGCUGUCCAAUGAAACUAACAGUAGUAAGUAUGAUUUAGAUAAACAGAAUGGAGGUAACAGAAAUAGUCCCACUGUUACAGGUCCUAUAGAAAGAGUAGAAAAAAAUUUUGAUCGAACUAACUACAAUCUGGAUAACAUUGAUUUUAUCCAAGAAAAUUAUAAACAAAGUGGAACUAAUAAUAACAAAACAAGUGCAUGUAGUAUGAUAAAAAGUAAAAAGAAUCAAACUGUUAUUAAAAAGUAUGUAACUAUGAAUGGAAAAAGUAAAAAAGUGAUACAUAUAUAUUGUUUACAUUAUUUAUUGCAAAAGUCUAAUGAAGCGAUGUUAGUAAUAAAAAUACAAUUUUAUAAUAAUAUAAAUAUACCAUUGAAAAUGGAAUUUGAAAAUUAUGAUCAGAAUAAUAAUGUAUCUUUAUUAACUGAUUUUGAAUAUAAAAAGGGACUUGUACAGAAUCAUAAUAUAAUUAAUAUAUUAAGUAGAGGAAUAUUAAAUAAGAUAAGACAUGAACUAUUUUUAUUAAACAUGUCUAAUAAAGAAUUACAGUAUUUUUUUAAAAGAACUAAUGAAUUAGAUUGUGCAAAUGGUGAUAAUGAUACAUGCAUGGUAGAUGAAAAUGGGAGCUUAGUUAGCAACAUACGUAGUAACAUAAGUAGUAACAUAAGUAGUAGCAUAAAUAGUAGCAUAAAUAGUAGCACUAUAGAAUGUGUGAAUGAUAACGGAAAUAUAAAAGAAAACAGUAUUUUACCAAUUAAAUUUUUAUCUAAUAGUUAUAAUUCGUUACAUUAUAAAACUAAGUAUAUGUUAUACGUAGAUAAUAAACAAAAUAGACAAAUCGAAUUUGACUUAAAACCAAUUCAACCGUUAGUAUUUUUUAACACUUCUUGUAUAUAUAUAGAUAAUUUAUUAUUAGAAAAAAGUUAUUGUUUUGUUUUUUAUAUAAUAAACUUUGAUUUUGUUGACAUGAAUUUUGAAUUUGAUAAAAACUCGUAUAGCUCCUUCAAUAGUCAAAAAGAUACAAUUAAAAUAGUGCCAUCGAAGGGAACUGUAAAGUCUUGUUACAAAUGGGAAAAAACGUAA